RNAcentral lists this ribosomal RNA (255 nucleotides) under Mycolicibacterium crocinum. Its description in RNAcentral is "Mycobacterium crocinum partial 23S ribosomal RNA". It matches the Rfam family "Bacterial large subunit ribosomal RNA", at positions 579 to 813 of the family's 2925-position model. The record is from RNAcentral. Lineage: Bacteria; Bacillati; Actinomycetota; Actinomycetes; Mycobacteriales; Mycobacteriaceae.
GACUUUGUUGUGGGGUGAUGGCGUGCCUUUUGAAGAAUGAGCCUGCGAGUCAGGGACAUGUCGCGAGGUUAACCCGGGUGGGGUAGCCGUAGCGAAAGCGAGUCUGAAUAGGGCGUAUCCAAGUCAGAGGACUUGGUGUAGUGGUGUGUUCUGGACCCGAAGCGGAGUGAUCUACCCAUGGCCAGGGUGAAGCGCGGGUAAGACCGCGUGGAGGCCCGAACCCACUUAGGUUGAAGACUGAGGGGAUGAGUUGUG